This 465-nucleotide ribosomal RNA is filed under the name uncultured Allobrachymonas sp. Its description in RNAcentral is "bacterial SSU rRNA". It matches the Rfam family "Bacterial small subunit ribosomal RNA", at positions 916 to 1381 of the family's 1533-position model. The record is from RNAcentral. Lineage: Bacteria; Pseudomonadati; Pseudomonadota; Betaproteobacteria; Burkholderiales; Comamonadaceae.
GACGGGACCCGCACAAGCGGUGGAUGAUGUGGUUUAAUUCGAUGCAACGCGAAAAACCUUACCCACCUUUGACAUGGCAGGAAUCCUAAAGAGAUUUGGGAGUGCUCGAAAGAGAACCUGCACACAGGUGCUGCAUGGCUGUCGUCAGCUCGUGUCGUGAGAUGUUGGGUUAAGUCCCGCAACGAGCGCAACCCUUGCCAUUAGUUGCUACGAAAGGGCACUCUAAUGGGACUGCCGGUGACAAACCGGAGGAAGGUGGGGAUGACGUCAAGUCCUCAUGGCCCUUAUAGGUGGGGCUACACACGUCAUACAAUGGCCGGUACAGAGGGUAGCCAACCCGCGAGGGGGAGCCAAUCCCACAAAGCCGGUCGUAGUCCGGAUCGCAGUCUGCAACUCGACUGCGUGAAGUCGGAAUCGCUAGUAAUCGCGGAUCAGCAUGUCGCGGUGAAUACGUUCCCGGGUCUU